UUACCCAUGUCACUGUGGAUACAAGCAAAAAGUCCUCGAAUUUUCUGCCUGUCUGAUUGUGACAGCCCAGAUUAAAUGGCGGAAUACAGGA
This is a small nucleolar RNA of Sorex araneus (European shrew), 91 nucleotides long. The record is from Ensembl. Lineage: Eukaryota; Metazoa; Chordata; Mammalia; Eulipotyphla; Soricidae.